UGCUUUGGCAGUACGCUGGCUUCUUAGAGGGACUAUCCGCUCAAGCGGAUGGAAGUUUGAGGCAAUAACAGGUCUGUGAUGCCCUUAGAUGUUCUGGGCCGCACGCGCGUUACACUGACGGAGCCAGCGAGUACUUCCUUGACAGAGAUGUCCG
This 154-nucleotide ribosomal RNA is filed under the name Xylariales sp. RNAcentral's name for it is "partial small subunit ribosomal RNA". It matches the Rfam family "Eukaryotic small subunit ribosomal RNA", at positions 1388 to 1544 of the family's 1831-position model. Lineage: Eukaryota; Fungi; Ascomycota; Sordariomycetes; Xylariales. The record is from RNAcentral.